Molecule: long non-coding RNA, 3259 nt
Filed under: Ananas comosus (pineapple)
Lineage: Eukaryota; Viridiplantae; Streptophyta; Magnoliopsida; Poales; Bromeliaceae
Description: long non-coding RNA (ACOM_LNC007164)
Source: RNAcentral
UUCGGUUAUGUGCCACGAUGCUUCAAAUCCAUUUUCAUGAAUUUACGAUAUCGCCUCGGCCCUCCCGGCGGACCCGAAGCCUAAACGUCCAUUUCUUUAAUAACUUUGUAACGGCUCGUCGGAUUGCCGAACCGUCUUCGCCAACGCGUUCGUUUACCUAGCAAUUUGGUUUACGGAGGGUCAAAUGAGAUCAAACCCAUACAUUUUACAAAACCCCAUUCGGAGCCCUAACAUGCAAUUAACCUCUAAAUAAUCCAAAUUAAAUAGAGCAAACAUGUUUAGAAUGCUCAUUAGAGGCUAUUAGAACACUUAAAACUAAGGAUUAAGCCAAAUCCCAAAAGCUUACCUCAAUGUGAACGCCGCGACGAAAAUACGCCGCUCCAACGGGCGCACGAAAGCUCGAUCCGUCGCCUCCAACGCGUUCGCAAGCAUCUUCUCCACCAACCCUCCAAUUUUUAGAGAGAGAUUUAGAGAGAUGAGAGAGAUCUCUAGAGAGAGAAGGGAGGGUUUCCCUCCCCCUCCAUGCGCGUGUGUGUGUGUGGGGUGUGUGCGGCUGAAGGAGAAGAAGAGGAGUCAACACUCCUCUUUAGUCAACCCCACGACACUAUUCACUCCCGGGCAGCUUGAAAUCUGAUAACUUUCGCCGGAGCUCCCUGAAUGUCCGUUUGAGCUCAAACUUGACAGUCAUGUUCGGUUUUACUUAACUUAACAAGCUGACGAUCGCUGGUUCAGUUUCGACCCCGUUUGGUCACUGAAAACUGUACCGAACUGUAAUCUUUAUCAGAUAGCUGUCGGAUUUUAUUUCUCACUCUACGGGUGUCAGAAAAAUAUGAAACUUUAAAUCUAGCCUCAUAAAAAUAUUUCUGACUUAUCCUCCAAUUUUCAUAAUUUUCUGAGACUGUGCAUUUUCUGCUAAUUUAUCUGUCCCGUUUCCAACAGAAAAUUCUAGAUCUUCUGUUUUCAUUCCGAUUUCAGCACAAGUCACUUCUGACUUAUGUUUUACUUCUACAAAUCCAAUAAAAAUAGUUUCUCACACUAUUUUUAUUUAUUUUUAUUUUUAUACCAAAAUCUGGUAUGUUACAUUCUCCACCCCUUAAAAGAAUUUCGUCCGCGAAAUUCAAACCACGCCUCAAUUCAGCUCCGCGAGCAAUUGAGGGUACCAACUCAUUCUCCCACUCCAGAGCGGCUUCACACUAUCGUGGUUCCAGAAGCGGCUCAUACUGAAGGACGUGGGUUUAAUCCUAAACUCAUUUGCAAAGUGUGAUACAAACGUGCAUCACGGGUCUUGCAAGUCAUAGUGGCAGCGCAAGUCGGUACUCGACGACUCUACGCGCUCCAACACCACUCGCCACUCGGUACACAAAGAACUCUUCUUUGCACUGGCCUUCCCUUUUGGGAAUACAUUCCAAUUCGAUCACCGACAUUGCUUAGAAGCAAUAUCACCGGUGCAUCGCUCCGUCGUGAGUGCUCUAAUUUCGCACUGACCCUUAACUUUAACGCGAGAUGGCCCACUUCGGCACAUCUCAAGUCUCAGUUCGCUUACGAGCAUAGUCUCCAACAUCACGUGGCUUUCCACUAGAUUGAUGUCUCACAAGGAGUACUUCAUCAUCUGAUACCACAUGCCACGAUCAACAUCAAACUAUUUUCGCAACGAGCUCACGCGAGCACUCCGUUCGUGAAUUCGAGUCAAACUCCUCGAUAAGGCUAUCUGCCAAAUCGCUCUCUUCGGUCUCCACAGGUGGACCAAAGGCCACCAAUCCUACGUAGGCCUACCGCCUAAACCUGUCUCAAUACGCAGCGUCUCUCGCUCGCAAAUGCAGACCCAAUCAUGAUCGGGCGAAAUUCUCACUUGGGAAUUCGCACACACUCCAACCAGGAGCAACUAAGACCCCAAACCACGUCAAGUCCUCGGGUUGGGUCACAACCAUACUCGGUGUACCAUCGGUCACACAAUCUAUCACGUGGCAUUCCACGCUCCCGGGCCUAAACUCGGACUACCGUCCUGACCAGAACUCUGCCCUACCCGUAGGUACCGGGCCGCUGUCACUCACAGCUGACUGCGCCUGCCCAAUGGGCCCAGGCUCCACAGUCCACAAAUGGUCCAGGCACGGGUCGUCCCCAAGCACUACCCGCCGUCGUCGUCCUACACGACAUACUCUACCGAGUCACACGUACCAAUAUCGGUUCCUAUGCACCUAGUGCGAGUCACCAGUCCCACGAGUGAUCCAUGGCACGCUUCGCACCUAGCAAUGCUCAAGUGCUACUGCCAUUACACUCUCUCGGCUGAAUUCACAUCCGCACUUUACGGGUAUCUACACUCGAGCGCUCUACGCCUCUACAGCGUUCCACAGUAAGUCCAGCAUUAGGCAAUCUUGCCUAUGCACACCGAUCGCACGAGCACAAUCGCCUACCUCACCUUGAGGUACUACUAGGCCCACGUGCUCAAACUUGGCCACUAAUCGACCGUUCUCUCAACAGUGAUGCUACUUUCACUGUUCGAUCUACCGGAAUGACAUCCAAAAUUUUCGGACUACUCGGGUGCCCAUAGGCAUUAUGGCUCGACUCUCGCAAUUUACUACUCAUAUUGCUCUGAGAGUCAUUUCGACACUUCUAUCUCUACCGCGAGUCUCAUUUCUCGCCAUAGAUUACUUCUAGCACUUCGCUAGUGCCAUCUGGCUUUAUACCUGUACUGGCAGGUACUACGCCCUCACAUAAUACAAAACGCCAUUUCUAGAGCAAUCAAGUCUAUCUCUAGAAAUUCACCAUGAGAGAGAGCUUAGAAGCUUACCUCUCCAAGAAGCUCCAACCAAGGAGAAGAUGAAGAAGAUGAGGAAGUCCUCUUUCUUCUUCUUUUUCUUCCCUUUUCUUUCUUCUUCCUCAUCUUGUCUACUAGAGAGAGAAAGAGAGAUAUGAGAGGGUGUGUGGGUGAGAAAUAAGAGAAAAGAGCUCUCAUACCCCUCACAUAGCCCCACAUGUUGCAUAAGUACAACCAAGCCCCUCAACUUUUACUCUUUUACACUGCCUUGACUGGGCCAUUUUCGUGUUCGGGGACCGGUCUCCCCGACGAGGGACCGGUCUCCGAGAGCUUCUCCCCGCAGUCAGCAGAGCUCACGCCCGAUGCAUCCGGUCUCUCUUUGGGGGACCGGUCUCUCAGGGACCGGUCUCUCCAGCAGGGACCGGUCUCCGAGAGCUGUCCACCAAGGACUUAGCCGAUUUUUCUCUCCUCUUGCUGCCUGCGCGUUCGGGGACCGGUCUCUCC